Long non-coding RNA from Ornithodoros turicata, 821 nucleotides. RefSeq lists it as uncharacterized. The transcript has 4 exons. The record is from RefSeq and is a predicted model, not a curated record. NCBI's taxonomy places the organism in Eukaryota, Metazoa, Arthropoda, Arachnida, Ixodida, Argasidae.
AUGUACUCGUGUAUCGAACCAACCCCUAUUGAGCCUGUCCAAUCGAGACAAAGUUCCUGCACCCAAUCGCAUGCUUUCUGCUUACUUAGCUUUCCAGUGCGCCUUUGAUAUAUGCUAACAUUUGCUUUGAGCAUCGCAGUUGAUACACGAUCAUCAAACAAAUACUGAUAAUUGUUCUGCUGCUAGAAGAUGAGUCGGUGUCGCCGGCACCGGCCCCUUCGGUAGACGAGGCGCUGUCGCCGCUUCGGACGACUUCCAUGGCUAGGAGGGGUCCCCCAGGCCACAGUAGGGCAGGGCCUGUGCGAGUUCAGGCGCAGAUAUGGUAAUGGAAUGAGGAAACAACAGAUAGAUUUUCAGGAGCAGAAAAUUCCACGUCUACACAGUUUGACUUCGUCGUCGUCAUCAUGAAGGUUCUCGCAUUUACCCUGAUGUUUUUGGCGCUUAUCUCCUUCGUGAUGUCCUUCUGUCAAAAUGAGGCAGAAAGGGCCGUGGAAUGUGUCCAGACCCUGGAGGAGAGAUGGAAAUUCGACAACACAGCGUCCAAGGAAGAGGCUAAGGGUGUUGUCUGCUGCAUCGCAGACGACAUCGAGGGAUGUGUGCGAAGUCACUUAACGGGAAGAUGUUCUGCUCUUGCGUCUCCGGUGUCCGAAAGGGCUAGAGGAGCUUUCUUCGCGGUUUUAACGGGCGACCGAAAGACUGACUUCUGCACCGCACGCGCGGGUCCCACAUGCAGUGCCCUGAAGUCUCGUUUUGGAAACUGAGCGACCAGGGCUACUUGCUUUGUAACUGUUCCGUAUAUUAAACGGGCCUUUGUUAAACCA